AUGUCGUUGCCUUGGCCGAGCUCUGCUGCAGCGUCGAGGAGCCAAGCAGCAGUAGUCAAGGGCAGGCGGGCCUUGCAGCAGCAGCAACAGCAACAGACGGCGGCAGCGACGACAGGGGAAAAGCCGGGCGCCGGCUCCUACGGCUGUUGCUCUUCUGGUCUACUACUGUGUCAAAGUCAACAGAAUUUAACAGAAAGCACGAUUUCCCCAAUUGCUGUUUUCGUUUGUGGUGAGUGAGCCAAGCUUUUGUAUAGAUCUCUGUUAGUUUUAUUUUAUGAUGGAGAACAUUGAAUGUAUCGGAAUUGUACAAGUUUUUAAAACUCUACUGGUGUCAAUAUCUGUUGUAUUCAUUGGUGUGUUGAUAUUUGUUGAUUGCAAAAAGUUUAAGUGAACAAUGGACAGGCACUUACAAAUAUCCAAGUAAGUAAUGUGAUGUCUCUCAUACAUCUGAUAUAAAGGAACUAAAUAAAAGAGAGGAAAGAGAAAAAUUGUUGCCUGAAAUACUUGCUUUACUUGAAUUGAAACAUUGUUCCAUGUGGUACUGGAAAUUUUACUUUGUUUUAGUUCAUGAGCCUAUAUAAUGUUAUGGCAAUUUCCAAGGACAAAGAAGUACUCCUUCCCCAUUGUUACUGGUGUUUACACACACGGUAUUAAAGCAAUGCAGUAAAUUAACUUCAUAUAUUUUAUUGUGGAAGUGAACUCACAGUAUUUGGGAGGCAUGUGUCAGCCAAGGGUAAAAUAGGGAUGUACCCCUGGGUCAGAAUGACUGAAGAGAUUUGGAGAUUUCAGACACAGUGAAGAUUAUUUUGCUUCCUCCCCAAAUUUAACAUGUCAAUGAGGUGUGUUCUGUGAUAAACACAGUUUAUCAUUUGUCCUGACCAAUAAACAUUUUAAAAGCAGAAAGCAAAGGUAGCCAUAUUGGUGCAUAAAACAAAAAUGCAAAAGUUACAGAAUAGUGUGCAGGGUUUAGGUUUCUUUGGAUGAAGAAUUUUGGAGGCCUCAAAUUUGCCCCACUAUUUUGAGUCGUGUUUAGUUUAGAAGAGAUAUAUAAUAUAGCUGUUUGAUCCAAAAGAACCAAAUGUGCUUUUUUUAAAAAAAAAAAAAAGAAAGAAAAGAAAAAGAAAAGAAACUUAACCAGAUGCUUGGGAAUACCAUUGUUUUUUCAGCUAGAACAAACCAAGCGCUGGUUACCAGUACAGUCAGCCCUCUAUAUCCAUGGAUUUUGCAUCCACGGAUUCAACUAUCCACAUAUUUUGUUAAUUCCAAAAGCGAACCGUGAUUUUGCCAUUUUAUAUAAGGAAUGCCAUUUUAUUAUGCCACCAUAUGAGGCUUAAAUACCUAUGGAUUUUGGUAUCGACAGGGGUCCUGGAACCAAAUUUUAUUGGAUUCUGCAUUUAGAGAAUACUAAAUAAUAGACAGUAUACAAUGCAAAAUACCACCUGGCUGUAUUUCCAAUUGUGUUUCUAUGACAAUUGUGCAUAGAAGAAUGACAUAUUGGAUUAUUCCUUAAACCUAUGAGUUUGUCUUGCUGAGUUCAGACUUUUUGGAUUUAUAGAAAUGUUCUUGUUCUGUGACAUGCUGUUCAGUGUAGGCUCUCCACAGAAAGACUUGCUAGUGAGUACCCUGUUUCCCCGAAAAUAAGACAGUGUCUUAUACAAAUUUUUGCUCCCAAAGAGGCGCUAGGUCUUAUUUUCAGGGGAUGUCUUAUUUUUCCACAAAGAAGAAUUCACAUUUAUGGUUGAAUUAUUAAAAAUGAAAUUGUAUUAUCUACUGUACAGUAGUUGUCAUCACAAACCAGCAUAGCCAAACUGUGAAUCCUUUCGAGAAUUUCUAUAUUAUAUUUUAUUGCUAUACUGUUUUUAAAUUACUGUUUUAAAUUUGUUCGUAUGUAAAUUUAUGUUGUUGUUUUGCUUAUCCCUGUGUAAGCUGCCCUGAGUCCCUUCUGGGAGAUGGAGGUGGGAUACAAGAAUAAAGUUAUUAUAAUAUUAUUAUUAUUAUUUCUUGUUACUACCUUUAUUUCCAUGUACAACAAUCCAUGGCAUGUACAUUUACCGAUCCUGCAUGCUUCCAAACAAAAACUUUGCCAGGUCUUACUUUCGGGGGAGGCCUUAUAUUUAGCAAUUCAGCAAAACCUCUACUAGGUCUUAUUUUCUGGGGAUGUCUUAUUUUCGGGGAAACAGGGUACUUACAAAAAAGCUUUUGUUUCCAAAAGAAUUGCUUUAGGACACUGAAAGAGGUUUUCCUCACAGCUCUGCAGGAUUCUAAUAGGUAGUUGUAGCUUUUACCUUCUAAAGGUUUAUGAACCUCUUAUGGUGUUCAGAUUAUGUU
Long non-coding RNA from Anolis carolinensis (green anole), 2328 nucleotides. The record is from Ensembl. NCBI's taxonomy places the organism in Eukaryota, Metazoa, Chordata, Lepidosauria, Squamata, Anolidae.